This 253-nucleotide ribosomal RNA is filed under the name uncultured bacterium. RNAcentral's name for it is "partial 16S ribosomal RNA". It matches the Rfam family "Bacterial small subunit ribosomal RNA", at positions 524 to 776 of the family's 1533-position model. The record is from RNAcentral.
UACAGAGGGUGCGAGCGUUGUCCGGAAUCACUGGGCGUAAAGGGCGCGUAGGUGGCGACCCAAGUCGAUGGUGAAAGCUCGCCGCUUAACGGCGAGUCGGCCACCGAUACUGGGUUGCUCGAGCACUGUAGAGGCUCAUGGAAUUCCGGGUGUAGCGGUGGAGUGCGUAGAGAUCCGGAAGAACACCGGUGGCGAAGGCGGUGAGCUGGGCAGUUGCUGACACUGAGGCGCGACAGCGUGGGGAGCAAACAGG